Molecule: ribosomal RNA, 280 nt
Filed under: Staphylococcus aureus
Lineage: Bacteria; Bacillati; Bacillota; Bacilli; Caryophanales; Staphylococcaceae
Description: partial 23S ribosomal RNA
Rfam family: Bacterial large subunit ribosomal RNA
Source: RNAcentral
GUUCAGGUAACACUGAAUGGAGGACCGAACCGACUUACGUUGAAAAGUGAGCGGAUCAACGGCGGGUAGCGGAGAAAUUCCCAUCGAACCUUGAGGUACCUGGAUCUCUCCGCAAUAGCUUUCUGGCUACCCCCAUGAGAAGAGUCUUUGAGGUAGGGCACUGGUUGGACGAGGGGCCCCUAUCGGGUUUCCGAAUUCAACCUAACUCCGCAUGACAAUUAGUUUAACUUGGUUGUCAGAACACGGGUGACAAGGUCCGUGUUCUAAAGGGAAAAAGCCC